ACGGCUCAGUAACACGUGGCUAACCUGCCCUUGGGACGGGGACAACCCCGGGAAACUGGGGUUAAUCCCAGAUAGGUGAGAACUCCUGGAAUGGAUUUUCAUCGAAAAGGUGUUGAAGCAUGCUUUCAACGGCGUCCGAGGAUGGGACCGCGGCCGAUCAGGUUGUUGGUGAGGUAACGGCUCACCAAGCCUUUAACCGGUACGGGCCGUGAGAGCGGGAGCCCGGAGAUGGAAUCUGAGACAAAAUUCCAGGCCCUACGGGGCGCAGCAGUCGCGAAAACUCCGCAAUACGCGAAAGCGUGACGGGGCCAACCCGAGUGCCGUCCGCUGAGGAUGGCUUUUCCCCAGUGUAAUGAGCUGGAGGCAAUAAAAGGAGGGCAAGGAUGGUGUCAGCCGCCGCGGUAAAACCAACUCCUUGAGUGGUGAGGAUUAUUAUUGGGCUUAAAGCGUUCGUAGCUGGCCUGACUAGUCCCGCGUUAAAUCCAACGACCUAAUCGUUGGGCUGCGGGGGACACGGUCAGGCUUGGGGGCGGGAGAGGUUAGCGGUAUUCCCGGGGUAGGGGUAAAAUCUUAUAAUCCCGGGAGGACCACCAGUGGCGAAGGCUGCUAACCAGAACGCGCCCGACGGUGAGGGACGAAAGCUGGGGGAGCGAACCGGAUUAGAUACCCGGGUAGUCCCAGCCGUAAACGAUGCAGGCUAGCUGUUGGGAUGGCCACGAGCCAUUUCAGUGGCGCAGGGAAGCCGUUAAGCCUGCCGCCUGGGAAGUAAGAUCGCAAGAUUGAAACUUAAAGGAAUUGGCGGGGGAG
RNAcentral lists this ribosomal RNA (807 nucleotides) under uncultured archaeon. Its description in RNAcentral is "bacterial SSU rRNA". It matches the Rfam family "Archaeal small subunit ribosomal RNA", at positions 85 to 876 of the family's 1478-position model. The record is from RNAcentral.